Molecule: transfer RNA, 85 nt
Filed under: Felis catus (domestic cat)
Lineage: Eukaryota; Metazoa; Chordata; Mammalia; Carnivora; Felidae
Rfam family: tRNA
About the family: Transfer RNA (tRNA) molecules are approximately 80 nucleotides in length. Their secondary structure includes four short double-helical elements and three loops (D, anti-codon, and T loops).
Source: Rfam by way of RNAcentral
GCCCGGGUGGCUCAGUCGGUUGAGCGUCCGACUUUGGCUCAGGUCAUGAUCUCACAGUUCGUGGGUUCGAGCCCCGCGUCGGGCU